This 58-nucleotide transfer RNA is filed under the name Olivierus martensii (Chinese scorpion). Its description in RNAcentral is "Mesobuthus martensii (Chinese scorpion) tRNA-Cys". Lineage: Eukaryota; Metazoa; Arthropoda; Arachnida; Scorpiones; Buthidae. The record is from RNAcentral.
AGUUAAAUAGUUUAUCUCCUAAAACAUUAGAUUGCAAAUCUAAAAAAAAAAUUAACUA